UCAUAGAAACAAGUACUUUGAAUACAACAUGUUAAGUAGUGUGUAUCCUAGCACAACCGUUCCCUAGAUCACGAUCUUGGAAAUAACAGCUUCUGUAAGCCUCCAGUUCCUCAUCUACCCAUCCACAGGAAGCUCUUGGCCCAGGGCCUGGUACAUUAAGUGCUCAAUAAAUAGUUGUUUGUGUUGCUAUUGGGUAGGGUCACACAGAACCAGUUUGGUGCAAAGCUGGAAGAUCCUCUAUCGUCCUGAGAUUUUACAUUAAGGGAGUCUAGCAUCAGGCUCUGGUCACUGUGUGUGUGCACAUGUGUGGAAGCUGCUUCUAAGACAAAAAUAAAGAAGAGGAUCUGAAAGAGAGGUGGACAAAGAGAUGAAUUAAGGGAUGGUUUGUGGCAGGACACAAGCUUCCCUGUAGGCUGAUAUUUUUGAGGAGCAUCUGUUUUGCCUUAAGUAUAGGGUCUCUUUAGGGAAUGUUUUUAAAGGAAGUUGAUCUUUUCCUGAAGUUUCUCCCAACUCUGCCAUGUGGUUCAGCAGAGGCCAGUGGUGUGCAGUUUGUGCACAGGCAGCUCUGCCUCCUGGGAACACCAGUUCACUGAGAAUGAGCAUGGACUGCUGAAUGUCUGUCAGGAGGGAACCAAUUUCCACCAUUUCAAAUCUAGAACAGAUUUGAACUAAUGCCCUGGAUUUAGAAAGCCAUCCUUUCUCUGGUUGAAUCAAGAAUGGGUGGUUUUAAGCACGUUGCUUGGAUGAAUGUUAUAUUGCAGUAUACCCUUCUCUAGAGUAUUAGACACUUUAUGAAAUCUGUUAGCUGCUUGGGUACAGUAUGGUUUUGAUUAAAUUAUAGAUGUUGUCCCUGCAAACCCAUAUAGUGUGGGUUUUUGAGACCUACAAGGAUAUGCUUUUAUAUAGUGUCCACUCCAUAAAUUCAGGACUUUGUGCCUUGCAAACUAAUCUCUUUCAAUUAAGUAAUUUUUAAAUGCUUAAAUAGCAUGGUGUAAUGGUAAGAGUAUGGGCUUUGAAGUCAGAGGACAGAUUCCAGUUCUCUGCUUUCCAGGUGCUUGACUUUAAGUCAACUAAAAUUUCUCUGAAUUUUUCUUCAUCAGAUGGGCAUAAUAGCAAUUCCUACUCAGGAUGGGGAUAUUAGGAGAUUCAAAAUGCAUAAUGGGUGUUGAAUACUUAGCUCAGUGUCUGGGAACUAGUGGAUGCUCUGAGCACCAGGUCUCCAUCCUCUACUUUCUUAAUGGCCCUGAGGAGCAAAAAUAAUAAUCAUAUUUGUACAGCCUGAAUCAGCAAUGCAUCCAUUAAGUGUCUUCAGGGGGAGCAAAACUCAGUAGUUUUCUUGUCACAUGACAAGUACUGGGAAUCAAGUCUAACACAGAACUGAGGAUAUCAUCUUUCUCACUUUGCAGGGUUUUCCAGUGAUCAGUGAAUGGUAUUCUGAUUGGAAAAGUGCAAGAUAAAAAACAACUCUGCAAGGAAAUCAAUAACUAGUAAUGCCAAACAGAUCAAGCUUGAUUCACAACUCUGUAAAAUAAAGAACACUUCUGAGAGCAGAGUUUUCCAGUUAUCAUCUCCUUUCCUGUGUCAGAUUGCUGUUUUCCAGGGAGACAGCUGAGGAUGAGGUUGAGGACACGGGGACUCAUGAGUUUUGAGAGAGGAGGACGCGAAGCCUGACACACUUAUUGUGGGGAGUCUUUCAGAAAGAAAAAGACCAGUAACUUGAAUGUUCUGCUCUUAAGAAAGACACAUGCCAGGAGGAAGGAAACUCACAAGGUUCUUAAUGACAUUACUGACAAAAGAAGGUCCUAGUAACCUUCAGUGCCGCCAGUCAGACUUGACUGGUUGGUAGCUGAAGGAAAUUAAUUGAUUCCUGUUUUUGUGUGGGAGUGGAAAGGGCAUUAGGCAUAAUGAAUAAUGGCUUUCACCUUGAGCCCGUCCUCCAAACUUGCAAACAGAAAUAAAUGCCUUGAAGUCUUUUCUGAGAGAACUAGUUUAAGUGAAGGGGAAUCUCUGGUGGUCUUCAAUUCUGGUUGGCAAGGAAGGAUUUUUAUAUUUAAAACAUUUUUUUUUAGAAAAGUAAUAUAUGAGUGCUGAGAUUUGAAUUGUAUAACUUCAUACAAAGAGUUUACAUGAUAACUUUAUACAUCGUCAAGUUUCUUACACUUUUUACUUCUACUUUUCAUGUUAGUCACACCAAUAUUGUGUUAGAGGCCCUGCAUUUGAUUUCAUGAUGGUUGUAAAUGUACUGAGCAUUUACUUUAUGCCAAGCAGUAUACUAACGAU
This is a long non-coding RNA of Manis pentadactyla (Chinese pangolin), 2280 nucleotides long. RefSeq lists it as uncharacterized. Lineage: Eukaryota; Metazoa; Chordata; Mammalia; Pholidota; Manidae. The record is from RefSeq and is a predicted model, not a curated record. The transcript has 3 exons.